RNAcentral lists this ribosomal RNA (411 nucleotides) under Triticum aestivum (bread wheat). RNAcentral describes it as "partial small subunit ribosomal RNA". The record is from RNAcentral. Lineage: Eukaryota; Viridiplantae; Streptophyta; Magnoliopsida; Poales; Poaceae.
AUGUUCAUGCCAAUAUCUCCAAUGGACACACUUCACUUCUCCUGCAUCCAAAUAGCCAUAGCCUUACUCUUGUUCACUCAAGCCAAGAGCACCACAGAGGGCAGCACAUCUGUCCUGCAUGCAAACGAUGCGAUCCCCAACUGUGUUGCCGGUGAGAAGUCUGCCCUUCUUUUCUUCAGGGCAGGCCAAUCAGACUCUGGCAACCUCCUUUCAUCAUGGAAGGGCGAUGCCUGCUGCCGGUGGAAGGGCGUCUACUGCAGCAACAGAACCGGCCAUGUUGUCAAGCUGGAUCUCCGAGGCCCUGAAGACGGAAGCGGGCAGGCACUAUCAGGCAACAUAAGCUCCUCGUUGCUUGGUUUACAUCAUCUUCGGUAUCUCGACCUCAGCCACAACAGAUUCGACAAGACGUGA